CCCUGAGAUUAGCUUAGUUGGUUAGACCAUGAUGCUGUUAGCAACAAGGUUGUGGGUUCAAUCCCCAUACGGGCC
Non-coding RNA from Lamprotornis superbus, 75 nucleotides. The record is from the annotation of a GenBank genome assembly. NCBI's taxonomy places the organism in Eukaryota, Metazoa, Chordata, Aves, Passeriformes, Sturnidae.